RNAcentral lists this ribosomal RNA (497 nucleotides) under uncultured bacterium. Its description in RNAcentral is "partial 16S ribosomal RNA". It matches the Rfam family "Bacterial small subunit ribosomal RNA", at positions 28 to 507 of the family's 1533-position model. The record is from RNAcentral.
GAUGAACGCUGGCGGCGUGCCUAAUACAUGCAAGUCGAGCGAACGGACGAGAAGCUUGCUUCUCUGAUGUUAGCGGCGGACGGGUGAGUAACACGUGGAUAACCUACCUAUAAGACUGGGAUAAAUUCGGGAAACCGGAGCUAAUACCGGAUAAUAUUUUGAACUGCAUGGUUCAAAAGUGAAAGACGGUCUUGCUGUCUCUUAUAGAUGGAUCCGCGCUGCAUUAGCUAGUUGGUAAGGUAACGGCUUACCAAGGCAACGAUGCAUAGCCGACCUGAGAGGGUGAUCGGCCACACUGGAACUGAGACACGGUCCAGACUCCUACGGGAGGCAGCAGUAGGGAAUCUUCCGCAAUGGGCGAAAGCCUGACGGAGCAACGCCGCGUGAGUGAUGAAGGUCUUCGGAUCGUAAAACUCUGUUAUUAGGGAAGAACAUAUGUGUAAGUAACUGUGCACAUCUUGACGGUACCUAAUCAGAAAGCCACGGCUAACUACGUG